CGGCGAGUGAGCGGCAAAAGCUCAAAUUUGAAAUCUGGCGUCUUUGGCGUCCGAGUUGUAAUUUGAAGAAGGUAUCUUUGGGCCCGGCUCUUGUCUAUGUUCCUUGGAACAGGACGUCACAGAGGGUGAGAAUCCCGUGCGAUGAGAUGACCCGGGUCUGUGUAAAGUUCCUUCGACGAGUCGAGUUGUUUGGGAAUGCAGCUCUAAGUGGGUGGUAAAUUCCAUCUAAAGCUAAAUAUUGGCGAGAGACCGAUAGCGAACAAGUACAGUGAUGGAAAGAUGAAAAGAACUUUGAAAAGAGAGUGAAAAAGUACGUGAAAUUGUUGAAAGGGAAGGGCUUGAGAUCAGACUUGGUAUUUUGCAUGCUGCUCUCUCGGGGGCGGCCGCUGCGGUUUACCGGGCCAGCAUCGGUUUGGAGCGGCAGGAUAAUGGCGGAGGAAUGUGGCACGGCUUCUGCUGUGUGUUAUAGCCUCUGACGAUACUGCCAGCCUAGACCGAGGACUGCGGUUUUUACCUAGGAUGUUGGCAUAAUGAUCUUAAGUCGCCCGUCUU
Molecule: ribosomal RNA, 552 nt
Filed under: Candida albicans
Lineage: Eukaryota; Fungi; Ascomycota; Pichiomycetes; Serinales; Debaryomycetaceae
Description: partial large subunit ribosomal RNA
Rfam family: Eukaryotic large subunit ribosomal RNA
Source: RNAcentral